AUUGAACGCUGGCGGCAGGCCUAACACAUGCAAGUCGAGCGGAUGAAGGGAGCUUGCUCCUGGAUUCAGCGGCGGACGGGUGAGUAAUGCCUAGGAAUCUGCCUGGUAGUGGGGGAUAACAUCCGGAACCGGGCGCUAAUACCGCAUACGUCCUGAGGGAGAAAGUGGGGGAUCUUCGGACCUCACGCUAUCAGAUGACCCUAGGUCGGAUUAGCUAGUUGGUGGGGUAAAGGCCUACCAAGGCGACGAUCCGUAACUGGUCUGAGAGGAUGAUCAGUCACACUGGAACUGAGACACGGUCCAGACUCCUACGGGAGGCAGCAGUGGGGAAUAUUGGACAAUGGGCGAAAGCCUGAUCCAGCCAUGCCGCGUGUGUGAAGAAGGUCUUCGGAUUGUAAAGCACUUUUAGUUGGGAGGAAGGGCAGUAAGUUAAUACCUUGCUGUAUUGACGUUACCAACAGAAUAAGCACCGGCUAACUUCGUG
Molecule: ribosomal RNA, 484 nt
Filed under: uncultured bacterium
Lineage: Bacteria
Description: partial 16S ribosomal RNA
Rfam family: Bacterial small subunit ribosomal RNA
Source: RNAcentral